This 261-nucleotide long non-coding RNA is filed under the name Panicum hallii. Its description in RNAcentral is "long non-coding RNA (PHAL_LNC000345)". Lineage: Eukaryota; Viridiplantae; Streptophyta; Magnoliopsida; Poales; Poaceae. The record is from RNAcentral.
UCAGUCGAGUUCAUAAAACGAGUACUUCAGAAUUCAAACAUAAAAAUUUUAUUCAGAGUUUAAAAGCAGCAAAAAGAAAAUACGUUCAUCUAUCGUCGAUUCGGAUACCACGAUGAAGCUCGUACAUGGCAUCACUCGGCAGAGUCAUUGUUGGCCGAGAACUGAUCUCACUCCCCGGACCAACCAGGCAGCAAGGUACAAGGCCAAGUCAAACCAGCUAUAAUUUCUUCAAAAGACACACCUGAAAAUAAUACCACAAGC